UUCGCUCCACCACCCAGGCCUCCUGCUGCGGCACGAACAGUACCACGGUGUUUCGGGGCAAUCCAGAGGAGGCGCGGCGCGGAGCGCGGCCAGAAGCCAGUAGAGAGCCCUGAAGGAAAAAAAGGGCCCCAGUGCCCCGCGCCGCGCGCGCCAGCAUUUCCCACCGCCGCAGCGACCUCCGGAACCAACGAGACGGUUGCCAUAGUGAUAUUCUCUGGUAGUCCCGCUGUGUUGUGCCCAGGACUCCCACUGGGGACUGACCCCAAUCCCGUUGCCAUGGAAACUG
RNAcentral lists this long non-coding RNA (286 nucleotides) under Homo sapiens (human). RNAcentral's name for it is "long non-coding RNA NONHSAT219445". The record is from RNAcentral. Lineage: Eukaryota; Metazoa; Chordata; Mammalia; Primates; Hominidae.